Molecule: ribosomal RNA, 775 nt
Filed under: uncultured Neocallimastigales
Lineage: Eukaryota; Fungi; Neocallimastigomycota; Neocallimastigomycetes; Neocallimastigales
Description: partial large subunit ribosomal RNA
Rfam family: Eukaryotic large subunit ribosomal RNA
Source: RNAcentral
UUAUCUCUGUAGAGUCUGCAUAUCAAUAAGCGGAGGAAAAGAAACUAACUAGGAUUCCCUCAGUAACGGCGAGUGAAGCGGGAAGAGCUCAAAUUUGAAAUCUUCAAGGUUCUACCUUGACGAAUUGUAGUUUAAAGAAGUGUUUUCUGUUGGAGUUUUGGUAAAAGUUCUUUGGAAUAGGACAUCAUAGAGGGUGAGAAUCCCGUAUUUGACCAUUAUUUCCAGCUUUGUGAUACACUUUCAAAGAGUCGGAUUGUUUGGGAAUGCAGUCCAAAAUGGGUGGUAAAUUUCAUCUAAAGCUAAAUACUGGCGAGAGACCGAUAGCGAACAAGUACCGUGAGGGAAAGAUGAAAAGAACUUUGAAAAGAGAGUUAAACAGUACGUGAAAUUGUCAAAAGGGAAGCGUUUGACACCAGUGUUGUUUUCUCGAAAAUCAAUUAAAAAAGGCAGGAUUUUGUGUUGUAUUGACUUUAUCAGCUUUCUGCACUCUUUUCUUGUCUUUUUUAAUGCACUUUUCGUUUAACAAGUCAACAUCAAUUUCUUUUGUUGUAAAAGGGUCAUUGGAAGGUGGCUUUCACUUCGGUGAAAGUGUUUAUAGCCUUUGGCUUCUGCAAUCGGAGAGAUUGAGGUCUGCAGCGUAGAUCCUUCGGGGCUAAAUGCAUUUGUGCUAAGUUAUAGCAUUUUAUAGACAACUUGUUGACUAUGAUUUGUCUUGUAGCUUACUCGCUUAUGUUAUUUUACCUACGCUUAGGAUGUUGACGAUCAGCUGAGCGCG